This 449-nucleotide ribosomal RNA is filed under the name uncultured bacterium. RNAcentral's name for it is "partial 16S ribosomal RNA". It matches the Rfam family "Bacterial small subunit ribosomal RNA", at positions 28 to 523 of the family's 1533-position model. The record is from RNAcentral.
GAUGAACGCUGGCGGCAGGCCUAACACAUGCAAGUCGAACGCCCUAGCAAUAGGGAGUGGCAGACGGGUGAGUAACACGUGGGAACCUUCCCUAUAGUACGGAAUAGCCCAGGGAAACUUGGAGUAAUACCGUAUACGCCCGAGAGGGGAAAGAUUUAUCGCUAUAGGAUGGGCCCGUGUCGGAUUAGCUAGUUGGUGAGGUGAUGGCUCACCAAGGCAACGAUCCGUAGCUGGUUUGAGAGAAUGACCAGCCACACUGGGACUGAGACACGGCCCAGACUCCUACGGGAGGCAGCAGUGGGGAAUCUUAGACAAUGGGCGCAAGCCUGAUCCAGCCAUGCCGCGUGGAUGAUGAAGGCCUUAGGGUUGUAAAAUCCUUUCGCCGAGGACGAUAAUGACGGUACUCGGAGAAGAAGCUCCGGCUAACUUCGUGCCAGCCGCCGCGGUAA